RNAcentral lists this ribosomal RNA (484 nucleotides) under uncultured bacterium. Its description in RNAcentral is "partial 16S ribosomal RNA". It matches the Rfam family "Bacterial small subunit ribosomal RNA", at positions 30 to 507 of the family's 1533-position model. The record is from RNAcentral.
AUUGAACGCUGGCGGCAGGCCUAACACAUGCAAGUCGAGCGGAUGAAGGGAGCUUGCUCCUGGAUUCAGCGGCGGACGGGUGAGUAAUGCCUAGGAAUCUGCCUGGUAGUGGGGGAUAACGUCCGGAAACGGGCGCUAAUACCGCAUACGUCCCGAGGGAGAAAGUGGGGGAUCUUCGGACCUCACGCUAUCAGAUGACCCUAGGUCGGAUUAGCUAGUUGGUGGGGUAAAGGCCUACCAAGGCGACGAGCCGUAACUGGUCUGAGAGGAUGAUCAGUCACACUGGAACUGAGACACGGUCCAGACUCCUACGGGAGGCAGCAGUGGGGAAUAUUGGACAAUGGGCGAAAGCCUGAUCCAGCCAUGCCGCGUGUGUGAAGAAGGUCUUCGGAUUGUAAAGCACUUUAAGUUGGGAGGAAGGGCAGUAAGUUAAUACCUUGCUGUUUUGACGGUACCAACAGAAUAAGCACCGGCUAACUUCGUG